RNAcentral lists this unclassified non-coding RNA (217 nucleotides) under Hevea brasiliensis (rubber tree). The record is from RNAcentral. Lineage: Eukaryota; Viridiplantae; Streptophyta; Magnoliopsida; Malpighiales; Euphorbiaceae.
GGAAAAUAUUCUUGGGUACACAUACAAACAAAAAACACCUUUGUUUUCGGCUUUUCAGUUCAUCCCUUAGCGGUUUAUCGGGGUGUGCAUCCGCUCGACAAUCCUGUUUACUGCAUCUCGGGUCAUCACAAGUGUGUCGUGCUGUAGGAUGCUGUAAACAUUCAGUCCAAUCGCAGGCAUCACAUUCACAUAAUGCAGAUUCCGUGUGGCGAGUUUG